RNAcentral lists this ribosomal RNA (486 nucleotides) under uncultured bacterium. RNAcentral's name for it is "partial 16S ribosomal RNA". It matches the Rfam family "Bacterial small subunit ribosomal RNA", at positions 30 to 507 of the family's 1533-position model. The record is from RNAcentral.
AUUGAACGCUGGCGGCAUGCCUUACACAUGCAAGUCGAACGGCAGCACGGGUGCUUGCACCUGGUGGCGAGUGGCGAACGGGUGAGUAAUACAUCGGAACAUGUCCUGUAGUGGGGGAUAGCCCGGCGAAAGCCGGAUUAAUACCGCAUACGAUCUACGGAUGAAAGCGGGGGACCUUCGGGCCUCGCGCUAUAGGGUUGGCCGAUGGCUGAUUAGCUAGUUGGUGGGGUAAAGGCCUACCAAGGCGACGAUCAGUAGCUGGUCUGAGAGGACGACCAGCCACACUGGGACUGAGACACGGCCCAGACUCCUAAGGGAGGCAGGAGUGGGGAAUUUUGGACAAUGGGCGAAAGCCUGAUCCAGCAAUGCCGCGUGUGUGAAGAAGGCCUUCGGGUUGUAAAGCACUUUUGUCCGGAAAGAAAUCCUUGGCCCUAAUACGGUCGGGGGAUGACGGUACCGGAUGAAUAAGCACCGGCUAACUACGUG